GCUCUUUGACAGAAAAAGCACCCUGGGAGGAAAUGUGACACCUCAAAGGCCUUAUGAAGUGGUUCCAGUAGAAAUGGAAGUGACUGGUAACACUGAGCACACGCAGAAAGUCACCCAGCGUUCUUGACGUGCAGACUCGGGGCAAACUAGUGGCUGCCAUCCUUCUGAGCACCAGAGAUGUGGCCUCGUCAGGAGUGGCUGUACUGGCUUGGUACAGAGAAGCUGAAUGGCUUGAGCCAGGCAAGAAUCUGGUUCUCUGGGCCCUCUUCUAGGCACUGUUCCUCUCACCUGUGCACUCACCUUGAGACAUUUCCUACUGUGCAGAGGGCAGAGCCAGGCUCUGUGGUCCAGGAGAGACCCCAGUUUAAGAGGGGCGUCUGCCAGACAUCACAGGCUGUGGGUGGAUUUUUGCCUAGGAUGGGUGUCUCCAGCGAUUUCCGUGGCGUCUCAUACCUGGCAUCCUUCACAAUUGCGUAAAGAGAGGUAUUUAUGUGUAUUAACCUUUAUUUUCUAAACAGUGAUUACCUCUGUUUUGGUUUUGUUCCUCAUCGCUUAGCUUCUUACUUAUUCUUGACAACUUUGUUGCAAUUCAGAGAGUAUUUUUAGCAGCCACAUCGGUAGUUUUCUAUGUGGGUGGCUCAUGGAAUUAAUCUGGGUAAUAUUUGUAAAUUGCACCUCACCACCGGUGCGGCUGCUGGAGCUGAGCACAGGCAGGGACCUGCCUGCACUCUAUCCUUGUCACACGUGGGGCCGGGAAAGCCGGAAAAUCUGACCCUGUACUUGUUGUGGAUCAGAUCCCAUUUAAUGCCAGAAACAGGCCAGCCCUGCUGGGUUUCGAAUGCAUCCUUAAAUCUCACCAAAGCACACAAAACUUGCUUGCCAGGGAGGUGGCCCCAGUGAGGCGGAGUAAAGGUCUUUACCCCAAAGUUCAUGCAGGGAGAUGAUAACUCUGAGACGCUUCCUGUUUAUGAAAUAAUAACCAGAACUAAAGCUAUGUCAGUGCUGGGACUAAAAGCCUAAGUUUUUAUUUGCUCAGGAUAUGGCUAUAGCCAGGAUAACAGGAAGCCCCCUCCAGUUAAAAUUAUUGUUCUUAUCAUGCUGCUGUGUCUAGUGAUUAAACAAGUUUGCUAUGUAAUGGGUAAAAAAUGCUGUUUUAUUUUCAGAAGGGGAAAGAGCAUUGCUGAGACCAGGGGCUGGGGUGAGCAGACAGAGAGGCAAGCUCAGUUACUCACCACAGUCACCAGCCCUUGGACUCUGUGCAGUGCAUUCCUCUUCGUGGCUGUAACAGGUGGGGAGGACCCAGUUGGCUUCAGUUGGACACCUCAGCUGGCCUGGGAAGUGAAAUAAUUUUCAUUUUUCCAUCACUAGGUUUCCCCAUUUGCUCAGUGGUUGUUAUUUACUGCCCUGGUGCUGUGAGGCCACUGGAUUUGGUUCCAUCUAAAUGGGAUAAGAGCUGCCUGUGCAUGUGCCUGUGCCUGAUGUUCAGUGUAGGUUCUUCUGCUGAUGGGGAACAGCAUAGAGACCUCCUUGAUGCCUGUGGGGCUUUUGAACUUAAGCUCAGCCCUGGGAAGUUAGACUGUGUAUUUGGAGAUAGGUAAUGGACUUGGGUGGCUAAAUGAAUAAAGCCUGAUUUUGGCCACAUCACAGCAGUAGUGCAUAAAAGCAUGUGAAUAUUUGGUCAGGAGGACAGUUGGGAAGUCAAAUCAUGACAGGAUUGGUGACCUGGGCCUGGAAGUAAAUCCCUGUCCUGAUUGUGGACCUCACCAAGUGGGUCCCAGGUGGUGAUGUUAGAGCUGUCCUGCCGGAUGGUGAGGUCAAGUGCAGUCACCUUCUGCUCAGACCAGGCUAAGUCACCAGUAUGAGGCAGAAUGAGACAGCUUCUUCUAGCUGCAGGACUCAAGACAACUGUGAUAGUGCUGCCCAUGGGCAGGACCCCUGAGAAGAGUUUGCAAAGGCGUUCCGUGGUUGGCUUACAGCUGUUAUGGUGUCCCCAUCCCUGUGUCUGUAGUGAGCAGGUAGGCUAAGACUGGUUUGCUGGGUUGGCUUUUUUUAAGGUUCGACACCUUUCCUCUCUGAUCCCAAUUUAAGAAGAUAUUUUCAGGUCUGUGCCUAAAUUUAAGCUCACAGACAGUGCUUCUGACUUCAUUAGGAUUGUUUAUGUCUUUAAAGCUGGCCGCAUGCUGAAGUGCCUUUCUGACUCACGGCCUCUAUAGCUUAAUCACUCCAUUUGUAAAAUGAGGUUGUUUCCUCACCCUUACUAAGAAAUCUCUGCCCUCUGAAUGCGAAAUAUUAUUUAUAGGUCUUUCUGUUACUUUUGGAAGGAUAACUGGUUGAUAACAAGAAGUGAGAAUUAAGCAUUGUUUAGAGAAAAGGCUGUUUCUUGAGCUGUUUACAUACCCUAAUGUGGACCAACUGGAAGACUUCUCUUUUGAAACUACUUCCCCUAGCAGUACAGAAUUCACCUUUUCUUUUGAAAAUAAACACAGAUGAUAAUUUCACUCCAGACAUGGCAUUUAGCAGUUUGUUUGUCAUGCAGGAAGAGUAGAGGCAUGUUACUGCUACCCCUCAUUUAGAGCAUGGAGUGCCCCUGAUUACUGCCUCAUUUGGCCAUACCGGCAAACUGAGGUCCAUCCUCAGGAAAGCACAAGUUCCUCUAUUUUGGGAGCACUUCUGAAUUCAGGUAGCCUUCAGAAUUAGGUAGUUUUGAUAGCAAAAACCACUUCUAGUGACACUUGCCCACGCACAUGAGUGGAGGAGCAGCCUCUGCCUCCGUAGGCCAGCAAAGGCAUUUCCACAUCUCAAAAUACCUGGGAAAAUCCACAGUCAGGACUAAAUUUAAGAAGUUGUCUCUGCUAUUAGGAUUUGUUUAUUGAAUGGAAGUAACAAUAAGCUGUAAUGUGUAUUUAUGCAAUGCUGUAUACGUUCAAGGUGCUGUAUAAAGAGUGGCUGUCUGAUCAGGUCACUGACAGAAUGAUGCCAAAGAACAGACUUUUGCUUACUCACAGGACAUGUGCAGAAUGGCCAAAGGGAAGCAUCUUCAAGAAGUGAACCCCUUGAGCUGCUCCUGAGCUAGAUUCUGAUACAGAUCAGCAGCAGUGUCAGUGAAACCCAGGGAGCUACACAAGGGGAAGCAGGGUCUGCACGUGAUGAGCGUUAGCCUGUCUGUGUCGUGUUCUGGAGUGAGAGGGAGUUUUAUGCUGGGUGAAGGAUGCCAUAGUUUGCUCCCUUGGUUUUCUUCAGCAUCACUGAGUUGGACAAAUGUUUGGAGAGGCUGAAGCUCACUCUAUUUACAUGUUGUUCUCUGUCCUGCUCACCUUCCAGGGCCUGUGCUGAUGUCUGUCUCUGGAAGGACAAAAUAAGAGCAGUCCCAUACAGCUCCUUCCCUGAAAAGUGGGAAAGGUCAUCCCACAAGACGUUGGUAUUUGCCAGAGAUACUUGGGAAACCAUGAAGGGCAGCUGCCUUCUCUGUUCUUGAUUGCUUUCAAUCCAUAAAGGUUCUAGCAACACCUGGAACAAUGGUGUUACCUGACAGAACUCUGCAGGCUAACAUCUCCUUUGGUCCUGAAGGCUGACAGGUUGGGCUCUGGACUAUGCUGAAAUGCCAAAGAAACUUACCUCUCACCAAAACCAUUUAAAUCAUAGGAAAUGGGCAAAGGAGAGAUUUUUUUUUUAAGUGUUUUAAAGUAGAAUAUCAAAUGCCUGUCCAGCAUGUUCUUUAACAGGCUUGUCCAGCAUAUUCCCCAUGUGUGGACAAUCCACAGAAUGUCCAGGAUGUCAUUGUUGCCCUUUGUUUUGCCGCUUAAAAGAUUGUACCCCCUCUGUAGCUCCUCUCUGCUUUGCUUGCUCUGAUUCAUUGUCCUUUUAACUGUGGGUGUAGGAAAACUAUUCCUUUGUCUUUGUCAUGUCUCUCCUUUGUGUUCCUUAGGCUAAAUCAUAUCUUGAACACAUUCUUCAGCUCUUUCUCUUGUAUCUUUUCCCUUUCAGCUCUGACCGUUCUCCUGGUUCUCUGUGCUCCCUUCAGCUGGUCCAUCUCUCUCUUAAAUGGCACUGCCAGAGCACAGUGCUGUAUUUGGGUCCUGUGCUGGGCAAGGAGAGCAGGAGUGUUCCUUUGUGUCUGUUACAGUCAGUGCUCCUCUUUGGUUUAACUUCUGCAUCGUAACAUUGUUCAUCUCCGUGCAGCUUGUGAUGUGCUGUGAUCCUGUCCAAGGAUCACAGAUCCUGUCCAGGCUCACAGAUCCUGUCCAAGAAGUCUGAUGCCUCAUGAACCAUUUUCUAUCCUGUAUGUGUGGAGGUAGACUUUCCUACCUAAGCGUGUGAUUUUUGAUCUGUCCCAUUUGAAUGUCAUCCUGUACCCCUCAAUUUGUCGUGAUUGUUUUGAAUUAUCUAAUUCCCCCGAUUUUGCAAUCCUGCUUGAUGUCACCUGCCAAUUUAAAAAGCACAAUCUCUGUUUAUUCACCGAUGUAAGCUUUGUUGUCAAUUCUGCAGUCCAAGAUAUAAAGUACAGGAGAGAAGAAAUCGUUUCAUAUAAACCAGAAGGAGAACCUUGCCCACAAAAUAUAAAAUAAACUGGAAAACACACACAACACUUGGCAUUGUUUUCAUACCUAUUCUACUUUGGUGCUUUUAAGGUGUUCCUAAUAGCAGUUGUAUUUGCUAUGCCAAGCAAAAGCAGAACCUUACUGUACGAGGCAUGACAUUGACCUGAAGGGGUAGAUGGUUACCACCCCAAAGGAUUUGCAUUUCAUAUAGAUGCAGACACAGGAGGGUGCUUCAUACAAAUUGUCGGGGCACUUUCAGGAGAGGAAAUCAGAAUGCGUGGGCUUUCCACAACAUUUGUGACAGAGGUUGCUCUGGGAAAGGAAAGGGUGGGCUGAAGAUUGAGAAGGAGUAAGUCAGUAGGGCAGGAACAGGAGGAGAGAGACAUGUGGGGAACAAAGAUGAGGGCAAGUGACUGUAACAGAAUAGAGGGAGAUGAUUCCUGAGAUCUUGAGGGGCUGAGGAUGUCACAGCCAGGGCUGGCAGGAAUGGAAAAUUGAGUGAAAUGCUGAAGAUCCCGUCUUGGAGUGUUUCUGCAGUUGCUCUUACUGACUUCAGUCUCUCCCACUCUCUUCAGACUUCAGUCUCUCCCAGUUUUUUUCCCCUGGAGUUGUCUCUAAUAUCUUUGGAAGAGAUGGUGAGUGAGGACAGGAGACACUACCUAUAUCCUGAUGCUCACAGGCAGAACAGAGAGUCUGUCUGGGGAUUCCCCAUCUGGAGCUGAGCAGAGGCAAAACUGAUGCUGUGGCAUUCACUUAAAAUCUCUGAUCCUGCUCACCAUGCUCAGCAAACUCUGAUGGGACAGAGAUUAUCUGAAGCACCAGCACUUUUCAUUGAUCUGAGAUCCUUGUAGCUUCCUCCUUCUCUGCCAUUGCUCUUCCCGUGACAAUGGUGUCUGUGCAGGACAAAUUUAAUGUGCUGUCCUCCUUCCUCCUCCCCUUCAUGCUGAAUUUUCCCUCAGCCUGCACAUGAUGUAUUUAAGGACAUAUGUGACUGCUGUACCCUCUCUGUCAUCAUGUCUGCUGUACUCUCACCACCAGUCAGGGUGGCCAAAAAAAGUUACAAGCACGGAGACCCAGUCAUCAGCACCUGAGCUCAUGGGUGGGAACCACACCUGCAUCCUCCUGCACAUGGAUGUGCAUGGCCCAGAGGCUGGGCACAUCUCAAGCAUGUGAGGCUCAGCACACUGCUCUCUCUAGGAGCAUGCCAGGUGUGUGAGCAUCUUUGGCAUUGAGUCUGUAAGGUUAUGGUUGUUCUCUUGGGUGAAGAGAGCAAGAAGAGCUCUUUUUUUGCUUACAGUGUGGGGUCAGGUUGUUUGUUUGCUCCGGGAUGUGAUCCAGUGGAUUCAGUAUGUCUUUGCACAGGGAGGAAGCAGCAGGGAGGAAGCAGUCUAGGAGGUUCCUGGAGUGUGUGGAAGAUAACUUCCUGACACAGCUGGUGAGUGAGCAGACAAAGGAAGGCUCCCUGCUGGGCCUGUGUUAUGCCAACAGAGAAGGACUUGUGGGUGGUGUGGUGUUUGGAGGCUGCUUUGGGUACACUGGUUGGUUUUCAGUGCUCAAGAAGUGAGGAGGGGGCUCAGCAGAAGGGCUACCUUGGACUUCUGAACAGGGCAGACUCUGGCCUGUUCAGGAGAGAUUGAUAGAGUCCCUUGGGGCAGACCUGAGUGACAAAGGAGUCCGGGAAGGCUGGAUGUUCUCCAAGAAACAAAUCUUAAAGGCACAGGAGCACUGCAGGGAAGACAUUGACGUGCUGGUGCAUGUCCAGAGAAGGGCAGCAAAGUUGCUGAAGGAUCUUGUGUGCGAGAGGAGCAGCUGAGAGAGAGGGCUUUGUUUAGCAUACAGAAAAGGAAGCUCAUGGGAGACCUUAUCUUUCUCUGCCACCACCUGAAAGGAGGUUGUAAUGAGGUGGGGGGCAGCCUCUUUCCACAGGUAACAAGUGACAGGACAAGAGGGAACAGCCUCAAGUUGUACCAGGGAAAAUAUAGAUGGGAUGUUAUGAAAAAUUUCCGUAUGGAAAGAGUUUGUCAAGCACUGGAACAGGCUACCCAGGGAAGUAGUGGUAUUUAAAAAUCUCUGGAGAUAUUUAAAAGAUGUAAAGAAGUGGUUCUAGGGGACACAGUUAGUUGUGCACUUGGCAGUGUUUGGUUAACUGUUCGUCUCAUUGAUCUUAGAGGUCAUUUUCAACCUAGGGAAUUUUAUGGUUCUGUUUAUUUUUGCUUGAGGACAUGAGGGUUUUUUCUGGUUACAGGUUGUAAAGGCGUACAGAGGAUGGGGAAUAGCCAGCAAGCUCCCUGACUGAUAGCUGCACUGAUGGGCUGUUACACUUUGGGAGGGAAUGUUACAGCAGAUGAUGGAGCGGCUUGGUGGAGACUUGGACUCUAGCAGCAAUACUCAGAGAAUAUCCAGUCCCAGAAAACUUGCUGAACAUUUCAAAGAAAGUUUGUUUUUUUCAGGAAGGUCCUUCAGUUUGUCCAGAGUAUUUUUACUUCCAGGCAAAAUUUGUAAGCAUUCUUUAUUUUUAAAGUGUGAUUUAUAUUCUGCUCUUGUCUGCAACAGCUCCAACACGUCAAAGUAUUUAUCUUUUCCUUGUUAACACUUACCAUUCCUGGAACAUCUCCUGCUCAGCAGCUGUUUGUAGGUGGUUUUUUUUUCCCUCUCCCAUCAUCUUGUACCUUUCCUUCCUGUUCAAGGCAUCUAUAAACCUCUUGUAGUGACAUCAUAGCUGUUUCCAUAGCAACAGAUUAUGAUACUAGAACAGAGGAUAAUAUCAAACAGGAGGAGGAAGAGAUAAAUUAUGGUGUUUGUGUGCGUGUGUCUGAGGGCUUGAUUAUAUUCCUACAUCUCUUCCAAGGAUGUUGUCUGCCUAGCUUCUUCUCUGUUUAUCUUACAUGCCUUUUAAAGGUUAGGAAAAUGUGAAGGGAAAAAAGAUCUGGAGGUCAGAACAAUACAGACGCAUAUUUUUGAUGGUCUCUAUGUAAACCUAGUAGGCUGAGAUUUAUUUUUUUACCUCUGGUAGCUCUCCUGUGUCUCCUCAGAGUAGUCUGGAGAAAACUUAGAGGCACAACAAUCCCCUGGUAUGGCUUCACUUUUACUUUAAUUACCAAUUAUUCAUAGCCACUAGCAGCUGGGAUCUGAAGUCAAGGAUCUCUGUGCUGCAGAUUUUCCAAAAAAUGGACAACUGUGAAAUGGCAUUGCCCCAGAGAGCUCACAGCUGUAUUUGAGAAGGGAUGUGACAUGUGCUGAAAUCAGCCAGAGGUGGCACGGGGAGAAGAGGGACAAGUACCCAGAAGGAUAUUGCGGGACUGUGAUCUCUAGACUGUUUCAGCCUGCCCAGAGAGUGGUGUGAGCCUCAUCGCAGGGUUAGCUUUUCACACUGGUGGUUGUGGAAGAGCUGUGCCAGGAUGGGUUGUGGGCUGGUUUUUGACCAUCUGUGUGGUUCUUCCAUGGCUUUGGGCUAUCCCUCUGUCAGGAGCUGACAGCAGCAGGAUUGCAGAAGGGUGAGUGCCCAUAUUGCUCCAUAUGUAUAAUGGCAGGAAGGCUGUUUGCUUAAAGCAAUAGGCUGGAGGAGAAGAAUGUCCAGCUAAAAUACAUGGUGUUUUAUUUUCUCCAAGGCAGCAUUUAGUGUUGACAAAUUCCACAUAGAUUGGCAAGGAUUUUCAGCAGGUCUCUGGUUUACCUCCAAAUAGUGGUAAUUUCCAGCCAUCAUUGCUACUUUCCUAUUUAGAUGUUAGACUUCAAAAGCUGGAGGAAAAAUUCCAAGAAAACUGUCUUUGAUAUCCUCAUAGCUCUCUGUGUGUGUGCAACCUUUAAUCUUCCUCUUGUGGCAGAAUUUCUGGGGACUUAAAUAGUCAUUACUAGUCUUUAAAAUACCUGGAGUAGAGUCGUCUCUAACUCGAAAAUCUCUGGUGGCACACUUGAGCUCCUUAACAUUGACAAACAGAAUUGAUCCCACGUUGAGGCACUGUGGUGCCCCAGGGAGGAGGGAAGUGGAGGGAUCUGAGCACAGCAGUGCCAGGUGAUGUGUCAGCUUACCUUGGCAAUCCAGCUGGCAGGGGCAGUGUGCAGUGGUGUUCUCUCCAUGGUGGGAAUGAGAGCCCUGGGUCAGCAGUGAGCAGUGCUGGGAUGAGGUGAUGUCCAUCCUGCAGUUCCUGUCAGGGCACCAGGAACUUUCUGAUAGCUGGGCAGGCUGCUGGUGUGCUCGGUGGUGAUGCAGAGUGAAGUUUUUGGUUGAGCUUAGCGUUGCCAGGAUGGAGAGAAGGUGGCGGAUCACACGAAUUGCCUGAGUCACCCAAACUCUGCAAGGCCAUCAGGAGUCAGAGCUGUACAGAAGGCACGCGAGCACACAAGACCUUGGCAGGAAUUAGGAGUUAAGUCACCCUAACGGAAGCUUAUUGGGAGCCAGUAGAGACCACAGAGGACUGGUUGGGUGUGCUUCCCCUGCAAGCACCCACAUGGCACACUAGGCCCAGCUUCAGAACAGGCUGACAUUGUCCUGGGGGGAGCACCUGCCACAAUCAGGCCUCAGGGUGGUGGAGGUUAGGGAAGUGGCAACAAGGUCCUUUGAUGAGAGAUGAAAAACUUUCACCUUUUCUGUGAAACUGAAUUAAAACAAAAAUACAGCUCUUGGCUACAGCCAGUUUGUGGAUAGCAUGGAGAAACCAAAGACCUCAUAAAUCCUCCAAGUCUACAAAGAAACUGGGGAUCACAUUUUUUUCAUGACUACAAGAAAAGGAUUUCUUCAUCUCUUGUAGUACAAUCACUGGCACCACCAGAAACCUGCCUUCCCACCUAACUCCCGCUCUUCAUUCUUUCAGCAGCAGAAUAUGUGUGUAUUUACCAAGUGGAGAUAAGAAACAUGCUGCAACCCCCAUUUUAAAACAGCUGCACCACCUGAAAAGGACAUGUGAGACCCAGACACAAGCAUAUCCCAUUGAUGAUGACAGCACUUCUCUUGCAGUGCCAUUUUCCUGUGGCUUAUCUGAGGCUGUGCGGACCUGUGUAAUGAAAGUGCACCUUGCAGAAGUCUGUGCUGCCUGAAAGCACGUGCGAGUCAGAAGGGACAGCAGGUGCUGUUCCUGAGCACCGUGUGUGACAGCACAGGAAUUUUUGAAUCUCCCUGCAAAUAAUCAGGGGCAGGAUCAGUUUAUAUCAAUGUAAGAUUCACUACCUCUGAGUACUGCCCAUCUGCCUGUAUCCAGCUUAUGACCAGUGCUGCCUGCAGUGCCUGACACUUGCUUUCUCUUUCUGAGAGAACAGGAGGAAAGUUGUUUGGCCAUGCAGAAUGGGAAUCAGGAACAAUAAACAGCUGUUGCUCCUGGGAGAAGAGACAGGAAAGCGUUUGGUGCCGUUUGUCAUCAGAGAGGAAAAUUGGUGAAGCCUUCUAUCCAAACAUUCCUGUAGGAGCAAGUGUGACCCUCGAGAUAGAAGUUCAGGGUCAGAGGAAAAAUGCAAAUGAGCUGAGAUACCUUUUUCCCCUUGUGACAACGGCCUGGUUUAUGCUGUUUUUCUCUAAUAAUGCUCUAUACCAUUAAACAGCAAUGCCACAAACCAA
Molecule: long non-coding RNA, 10086 nt
Organism: Passer montanus (Eurasian tree sparrow)
Lineage: Eukaryota; Metazoa; Chordata; Aves; Passeriformes; Passeridae
Exons: 4
Source: RefSeq, a predicted model, not a curated record